RNAcentral lists this ribosomal RNA (449 nucleotides) under uncultured bacterium. RNAcentral describes it as "bacterial SSU rRNA". It matches the Rfam family "Bacterial small subunit ribosomal RNA", at positions 28 to 477 of the family's 1533-position model. The record is from RNAcentral.
GAUGAACGCUGGCGGCGUGCCUAACGCAUGCAAGUCGAGCGAAGCACUUUGCUUAGAUUCUUCGGAUGAAGAGGAUUGUGACUGAGCGGCGGACGGGUGAGUAACGCGUGGGUAACCUGCCUCAUACAGGGGGAUAACAGUUAGAAAUGACUGCUAAUACCGCAUAAGACCACAGCACCGCACGGUGCGGGGGUAAAAACUCCGGUGGUAUGAGAUGGACCCGCGUCUGAUUAGCUAGUUGGUAAGGUAACGGCUUACCAAGGCGACGAUCAGUAGCCGACCUGAGAGGGUGACCGGCCACAUUGGGACUGAGACACGGCCCAAACUCCUACGGGAGGCAGCAGUGGGGAAUAUUGCACAAUGGGGGAAACCCUGAUGCAGCGACGCCGCGUGAGCGAAGAAGUAUUUCGGUAUGUAAAGCUCUAUCAGCAGGGAAGAAAAUGACGGUA